AUCGUUUUUUGGUUCGUAAGAGUGAGGAUUGGAGAUUCACACCACUGCAUGAUAUUAUGCUGCCCAUUAAACCUUGUUAUGAUGUGGGUGCACUACCUGUCUGACA
Molecule: small nucleolar RNA, 106 nt
Organism: Phodopus roborovskii (desert hamster)
Lineage: Eukaryota; Metazoa; Chordata; Mammalia; Rodentia; Cricetidae
Product: small nucleolar RNA U13
Exons: 1
Source: RefSeq, a predicted model, not a curated record